RNAcentral lists this long non-coding RNA (453 nucleotides) under Coturnix japonica (Japanese quail). RNAcentral describes it as "lncRNA (ENSCJPG00005014396.1)". Lineage: Eukaryota; Metazoa; Chordata; Aves; Galliformes; Phasianidae. The record is from RNAcentral.
AUGAGGCCACUAAGAAGGAUCUCUGCCACACCUCAUUUGCAACACCAAACACAUGAUGGUCAGACAAAUAUGGCUUCAUUGGCUACCAAAAUGGGAGUUCUUCCAAAGGAGAGGAGUGUUUCCAGCACAGCAGCACAAAACAGCGCGAACACCCCCACAAGACGCUCCACCAGCACUGCCCUGGCUCACAGCAGAAGGACAAGCCCCGAGACAUGGGUGCAUGCCCAACUGCACCCCAUGUAUCCCUGCCACCAUGUUCUUAUGGAUCCACAGCAGCGAUGCUGGAUGUCACCCUGCAGCCACCUGUUUUUCCAAAGUUCCUUCUCUAACACACCCUGGGAAUGGGAAGUUUCCUUCCAAACUUUCCAAGUGGAAAUAAUUCCCCUAACCCUGCCUGGCUUUCCCUGACUGACCAUCUACCUGCACAGCACUGUCCACCUGCCCGCACCUCAC